UACAGAGGGUGCGAGCGUUAAUCGGAAUGAUUGGGCGUAAAGGGAGCGUAGGCGGAUAAUCAAGUGGUAGGUGAAAGACCCGGGCUUAACCUGGGGAGGUCCUAUCAGACUGGUUGUCUAGAAUUCGGUAGAGGAAGGUGGAAUUUCUGGUGUAGCGGUGAAAUGCGUAGAUAUCAGGAAGAACAUCAAUGGCGAAGGCAGCCUUCUGGGCCGAUAUUGACGCUGAGGCUCGAAAGCGUGGGGAGCGAACAGG
This 253-nucleotide ribosomal RNA is filed under the name uncultured bacterium. RNAcentral's name for it is "partial 16S ribosomal RNA". It matches the Rfam family "Bacterial small subunit ribosomal RNA", at positions 524 to 776 of the family's 1533-position model. The record is from RNAcentral.